Long non-coding RNA from Cynoglossus semilaevis (tongue sole), 6599 nucleotides. RefSeq lists it as uncharacterized. Lineage: Eukaryota; Metazoa; Chordata; Actinopteri; Pleuronectiformes; Cynoglossidae. The transcript is spliced from 6 exons. The record is from RefSeq and is a predicted model, not a curated record.
CAUGGGGAUGUGAAGGUUCCACCUCUCUGUGAGAUUGGGCGCGUGUUGGACAAAGUGGCAGUUCAUCAUCGAAACCCGUUUUAAAGUGAAGGAGUGUUGAUUCUCUUCUGAUAAAUGGGUCAACACCAGUCAGCGGAUUGUGUCGCUGAUUGGUCGACAUCAUAACAAGAGUCAUGCGUGAAAGAAAACACCCUGCAGUGGGUCAUCGUUGUUGGCCUGGAUCCUGACCGGAUCUCUAUGAUGCAGCAGAUGCAGACUGAAUGGCAGGAAGUCUGAAACAAUCAUUCAGAUUUGAAUGAGGUCAAAUCAACCACUUGAUGACGUCUGCUUACUCAUUACAAAUCAUUGUACUUCCUAUUCUGUGGAUGCCAAUAAUGAGGUCAUUGGUUUUGACCACUAGAAGAAAAUUAUGGAAUUGAAAAAAGUUUGAAGAAUAAAAAAAAAAAGAUACACUGGAAAUAGGUCAGUGACUAUUCAGCUGAGAUAAGGUAAGUUCAAAAUGUUCCAAUUGGUUUCGCCAGUUUUUUUAAUCGAAAAAGCACUGAAUGUGGGAGUAUUUUAUUAUGAUAAUUGUAUGUAGGGGAAGAAAAUAAGUUUUAAGACUAAAGUAAAACAAGUAACCAAGGUAACUGAGGAAAAUUAUUUCAACCUACGCUGUUAUGUAUAAAACAAAACUCAUUAAAACUUGUUUUCUUUUAAGCCUGUUUAUUCGCUAGGCAGAAUGUCAGCUGCUUCACUACACACACACAGAGACAAAGCAUCCCCACAAACUGAAACCUAAAACCACUGCUUGGAGACCGUGACUGUUCAGCCAAUCAUCAGUGGAGUUUCAGGCUUCUAUAGUUGGGCGUUCAACAAUGUGGUUUGUGAGCUAGUCAAAUGACACACUGCCAGCAGCUGAGAGGUUACUAUCAGUCAUUGAACUGUAGUAAACUCUGCCGGUCAUGCACUGAGAGGAAAAAUCAAACUAAACCAGUUGGUCAACUGUUAAUUGUGUCAUUUAUCUACAAACUGUAAAGGGAAAAAUUAAUUGCAAGUUUUUACAAACAGAAAAUUAAACAGCUAUAAACCAGAGGAGCUGCUUGCAUGCUAAAUGCUUGGGGUUAUUGGAUGUAGCUCUGUGCUGGCAGAUAAAUGGGUGAUUAAGGUUUUGAAUGCCUUUCAAGUUCGGGCUCCAAACCAAAAACAAGUCUGUUCUUCUGGUGCUGUAAGGCUAAUGUUAUGACUGUGAAUAAGUUAAGCCAGGGCUGGGUUACUGGAGUUCACAAGAAAUGAGAGGAAAGCAAUAACGAUGGAAAGUAAAGCAGCUAAUUAAUAGUUUUGUUUUUUUGACUCCUACAGUAGGCUUAAAACUAAAAUAAUCCUUAGAGCACCACGAAGAGGAGGUUCAGAGGGGAACCUGCUCUUUACUCUGAAAUUGAACACAAUUUAAUGUAGCAAACACAUACAAGUGUAUGUGACUUUUCCUGCAGUUAGCAUUUUAUAAAUUCCUGUAUUGGUUUUCUUUUUAACCCCUGUGUAUGUUUGUGUUUUACAGUGUACUUGGAUUUUACUGCCUCUGACUUCAGUGUAAACACAGGACUUGUCAAACCAGGUCAGUCUCACCUUUGUCUCCUUUAUUUUAACAGUCACAACACAACAACAGGACAAUCUGUCAUCUUUUACUGUUAAUAGUUAACCAAUCACAGAGCACUUGUAGGUAAACUUUUUAUAGCCUGCAACAGUGACAAAUGUGCUGAUGUGGGGGGAGAAUAAGGUGAGAAAAGGCUGGAGACCCCUGUCUGACUGAUGUGAGGGAGGAUACAGGUUAUUGUUUUAUUGUGCAUUAGUCUUUGUUACAGAAGUGUUGCUUUAAUUUUUUUUCACAAAUGUGUUUAACUGACUCUUUUUUUCUACUUGAGUGAAAUUACACUCAAUAUGUUGGUGUGAUAAUAGGUCAUUCAAUAAAUAAUCUGUAAUUAAUACUAUGAUAUAACUGUAUAACAGUAAUUAUAUAAAUAACCGCUGACAAUGAGGUAGUAAAACAUUAAUGAGACAAAGGUCACUGAAGUAUGAAGAGGAGUCUGUUUUGGCCGACCUCUUCUUCAUGGGUCACCUCGGCAGAUAAUCUUAAUGUGUAAUUUGGCACAGAGUUUUAUGCUGGAUGCCUUUCCUGACACAAGCCUCUGUGUUUAUCUGGACUGUCACGUACAGUGACCUGCUCUAACAGCUGGGGUGUCAUGGGCAACCUGUAGUUAAUGUGUUGCCCAGAGACUCAGCUCACUGCCUGGAAUUAAACCCCAGACCGUGUGACUUGAACUAUGACCAACUAACCAUGAGAAGCCCUUACAUUCUUCAAUCUAAAGGUUAAUUAUAAUCAUAAUAAUAAUUAAUCACGAUUAAGUGUGAUUAAUUAUGAUAAAUCAGCAUGUCUUUGCUGGAACCAACAAUAACAAUUGUUUCCUGAGACUAAUCCAAAACAUCAAAUUAUAACAAUAGGAAAAAUGUCAAAAUAUCCAAAAGUAUAGCUAAGACAAGGCUUUUAGACAUGCCAAGUAAUCAAGACAAUGUCGAAUAUGUUCUAUACAAACACACCCUAUACAAAGAUGAGACCAAAUAACCACGGCAACAGUGAAGUAAAAAUCAUGCACAGAUCAAUAAUCUGUCACCACCGUAGGUGAAAGCGGUAAUGUCAACAGUAAUGUCACCUCCCUGCACUAUUUAGGCUUCAAAAAAACAAGACAUCUGCUUAUAAAAUAUGCGUCCUGUUGAAAACAGAACCAUUAUAAGAUGUAAUGAUUAAACUCACUUGGAUCUGAGUUAAAGAUAAGCUCAGUCUCAACUCAGGCAAACAUUGUCAACAACCAGGGCCUCUGAUAAAGGCUGUGCCAAGGGCCAUGUGCUUUCGUGGGUAACCACUGUGUGCCUGAGCAGAAUGUUAAACAUAGCACAUAAUGAGGGGGACAGGUGGGGGGUGGGCUUUCACAUAAUUAAAGCAAAGAUACCCCCAUCCACUGGUGUUAAAUGAUGCAUAUACAUCAUCAUGGAAAUAUAGACAAAUUCAACAAAAAAAAGUGUUUCAUUCAAAUUUAAAUAAUCAGAUUCUGGACAGACCUUGAAAGAUUAGACUAAUAUACACUUCACUGUUUGCUGCCAAAUCUGUUUAACACCAAAGAGAGCCUUCACCAGGUAUCUCCUCAGUCAUUGUGUGAAACUCAUGGAACUCAUGAGUAGACUGUUAGGAGUUUGACGUGGCAGCAGAGUACACAGCAGCUUAUAUAAGCCACUCUCCCUGCACACUCUGUCCAUUGCUGGUUAUGUAAUAAAGCCUGUUAGAAUGGCGUAGCACAGUCCCCACCCCUCAUCGCAGCUGAAAGAUGUGCCCCCUUGCUUUGUCUGUGAAAAUUGCUGUGAAGAAUACUUUCAGCAGCCCACAUGAACUUGCUAAUUGCAGAGCUGCAAAGAAAUGCUGCACUGUUGUGAAGUGAGUUUGUCUUCGACUGGCUAAAACAGGACUUUAAUGAAUUCUUAGAACUUCUCUGCUGUAAUUAUCUGCCACUGUGUUUUCUCCAGACUGAAAUUACACAAUCAUUAACCACACUGGUUCUUUUGUUCAGUUCUUAAACCCACAGGCAUGUUACUGAUAAAGUUGUACAACAGCUAGAUGGCUCCAGUGAGUGUCAUGAUGAAGGGAGCUAACCCGCUGCCUGGGAGUGUGCCCGAGUGUGGAUAGUUGAAGUAGGUCAAAGGUGACAGCAGACAGAGAGAGUGAAACAGAAACCGGGCAAAUCCCCCAGAGUAGAUUUCUUAGUUAAAAUCAAGACAAAUGUUUAAAUCACUCAUUGUUAGAACUGAAAGUCAUUCAAUAUAAAUAAAUAACAGGACUUAAUUCUACUUUGUUGAUGUCCCGCCUCCUUUACUGAUUGAGUCAAUGCGUGGUAUGAAGCCAAUGUCUAAAUAAACAACCUACAAGCAUGGUAUCAUUUAUUUGUGAAGCCAUCUUUCCUGUCUGUCGUCUCACUCCCUGGACCUGAUUCAGAACUGGAACUAAGACUCUUCCUCUUUGGGUAAUCCGAUCACUUGAGGACAGAACUAAAAGCAGGUCUGGAAGUUCUUAAUCUGUCCCGAACACUCAAUCCUCAAGACUGGUUAUCCAAACCACAUUUAAAGGUGGUUUGAGGACACAUGGUCCAAAUCUGCAGUCCUCAUGUUAUUGUAUUAAUGACACCCCUGUUUAGGACACAUCCUCUAACCUGCUGCACUUUCUUUUGACCUUGUGACCUCUUUUUGGUUAAAUCCUUCAAACUUCAAAUACAGUGGCACAGGUAACGUUGUCUGUUAUGCUGUAACAUCAGAUCUCAUCUGUGUUCACAGGCAAUGCAGUCAGAUCACUCAGGACAGAUGUACAGUAAACAGCAGCUAUGAAAAGGACCUUUAUCUCACCAUUCCCACAACCGAAACAAUCCCCACCCGGCGCCAGCCAUCUGUUGAUAACCCUGUUCAUCCACUGGAGGUCAGCGCACAGGGGGCCAAACACUCUAUCCAAGCUGUCGCUCACGUUCCUCUUGGAGGAUUACCAAAUAUGGACCAGGGUUUGGGGGAAGGCAGGUCACUCCAGGGAUUUCUACUUGAGCAAAUGAAAACAGGAGCCCGAGUUCACACACAAGUCUGCUGCUCUUCAAAUCAAAUGAAGCCAUUAGGUUUACUGCCACAUGACUGUGAGCCAGAGAACCAGAAACACAGCAUCGAGCCCAGAGCCCAUCACCUGCUGUACUAAGGAGGGGGCUGGACACAAAGGCAACUUGUCUAAUGUCUUUUCACUGUCAUCAGGACAUAAGGGACCAGAAGCAAACAGCACGAAUGGAAAAUUGAAUGUCUUUACUUGAAGUUCAUAGAUUCUUACCAUGCAGUUGGAGUUGUCACUUGUUUCAGAUAGGCAGUGGGAAACAUCUAAAAAAAAACAACCUCCUGUGCGUCACCAGGAUAAAUGGGCUGUCUUCACACUGUCUGGAAAGCGUCAGCUGAACAACAUUAAAUGUAAGGCAGAGACAUGCAGAGUGCAGGGAAAUCAAUCUUUAUUUUUCAAGUCCCCUGUGGACUUUUUUCUACACUUUGUAUAAUGUAUGUCACGUAAAUGGACGACUUUGCUGCAAUAUCUUAAAACCUGUUCUUACGGUUCCUACAGGAGGUGAGAAGGAACUGUGUGAGCAACAGAGACAGAUUUGACUGUGUAAGCAAAAAUCAAAGCCCACACUAUACUAACGUAUAAAGUCCAGUCCUGCAGCUUUCAUAUAACUUUUGAUAAAGUAAAAAUGUGCAGAAAGUGAAGAAGCGGAGAAGGUUUUUUAAUGUGUCUGCAGCUUUGGUCUGGACCUGAAGGUGCUGGGAGAAAUCAGUCUUUUAAGCAUUUUAAAUGUGUGUAAAGUUUUUUUCUAAAGUUGUUCAUACGUUAUCUCUCACACUGCACUUGAUUUUCCUCUCUGCCCCUGUCUAGCUUCAAUCAGGCUAAUCAUUUCCAGUGUUAAUUGCUUCCUCACCCUGCAGUGCCGUCGUCUCUCGGGCUGUCUGUGAGCAGAAUCACCAGUGUUCUGUUCUCUACCUGCUCCACUAGUCUAAUGUUGAUUGUCCUGCUGAAAUGAUUGCCCCCCCACCGUCUCCCACACCCUCCCACGGAGCAAACAGGCAGUUUACAGCCUCGUCCUACAAUAUUUUAAAAAACGUUGUUGCUCAAGUGUUUUCAGCUCAGGCUGCAGACAGAAAAGGGCAUUUUUAUACAGCAACAAUCAAUAAAAUAAGAACAAAUAAGAUUUAAAUUUGUGGGGGGGGGGGAUUUUGGUAAAAAAAAUUUGGCUUAUCAACCGAAAAAAAACACAACCCCCUUGAGGACCUGUGUGGACCUGCUAGGGGCCGUCCACCCAUUGUUGGAAACCUCUGCUGUUUAGGUUGAAGUGUCUUGACUUUAUCAAUAAUCACACCAGUCAAAAGCCUCAUUCUAACUGGGAAUCAUCAGCUUUUUUUUCCAGCUGUGCAGUGAGGAGAUAGUCACAGAUCCUCACAUUUACUGAGUGAUGCUUUAACUCUAACUACUGUGCACAGACACAAGCAAUCAGGCUAUGAUGUGAACCACUGCCUGCAGCUGAACAAGUCAUCACUGUCACAUCUCACUUAUUCCAUCUCUAUUCUCAGUAGAUCUCCCAGUUCGCAGAAUCACAUUAGGACAAGAGUUCUGUAAUGUGGGCCCAGAGAAGAUGAUCAGAUAAGAAUAGUUCAAAGACAACGAGCUGUGUCUGGACACACACUGAGGCCCAUUCAGUCAUGUCGCCUCAGGACAGAGAGACAGAUAGAAAUACACAGUGAGUACAAGGCAAAAACACAGCAUGUGUUAUAUAUAUGAGUGAUAGAGGUAGUGUUACAGUUUCAUAAUCUCUGCCUGAUAAGAAUUACCAAAUGUUUGUUUUUUUUAAUCUGGGGCAUCAUUGUUCAACACACUGUGUCCUGUGUUUGACCAGAUGUAGGACUUGUCUUUAUAAAGGACAUACUGUAUCUUUAUAUUGUCAGCAAUUCACUUGAUGUGUAACAGUAUAAUACCUUGACUAUUGCUAACAGUGAUGUACUGGAGU